RNAcentral lists this long non-coding RNA (752 nucleotides) under Ananas comosus (pineapple). RNAcentral describes it as "long non-coding RNA (ACOM_LNC043609)". Lineage: Eukaryota; Viridiplantae; Streptophyta; Magnoliopsida; Poales; Bromeliaceae. The record is from RNAcentral.
CUUGAAUCCAUCUCUAGCCUCUACCAGAGACCUAUCACACCUUCGACCCAAUCGAAUCAACUUCCGCCAUUGCUAUAGGUUCACGUUCCGCUCACGCACCUAUAACCUUAGGGCUUACCAACCUAGGGUCUCCUAGGUCAUCCUAGACUUUCUCUCUUUACUUGCUCUUGGCUCUAAUACCAGAAUAAGCUGUCACGCCCCGCCCCGAAACCACUACCAAUUUGGCACGAUUCGGCCGCGGCGGUGGACUGCCGAACGGACAGCACCUCCCCUGCCGCCCAAGGCUAAACAACAGGAAUGUGUACAAGAAUUUACACAGGAAAUUAAAUUCUAAACGUACACACUCACAUCGGCACAAACAGUGCCAACAACACAAAGAGCAAGUAAUCCACGAGAUAAAGCAUGUGAAAUAGAGAGAGUACUUUACUAACUAUUACAUUAGUUCCAUUUUUUCAUUACAUCAUUUUCUUUAAAUGAAUACAUUCUUUUUCCCAAAAUACAUAGCUCUCCAAAUCCUCACCUACAAUGAAUCUCUCUCAAUACAUAGGUGUACUAAUGCAAAAAGGAAAGCUACUAUACUACCACGGCCUCACUGAUCAGGCGCGAUGCCUUUGCCGCGGUCCUCCCUCGGCAGUCCUGAACCUACCACUGGAAAUAGAGUGGGGUGAGAACUAUCUUCCAUAGUUCCCAGUGGACUCGGCCGCCGACUCUACCGAUCUCCCCACUAGGUUCAAGUGGGCACAAGUAACAAC